This 4930-nucleotide unclassified non-coding RNA is filed under the name Gigantopelta aegis. Its description in RNAcentral is "splicing factor ESS-2 homolog, transcript variant X1". Lineage: Eukaryota; Metazoa; Mollusca; Gastropoda; Neomphalida; Peltospiridae. The record is from RNAcentral.
CAAAAUGAUAACAAUGUUGGAAGAACGUGGUGUGUUAAUAUUUUUAAAAAGAUAAAUGUCAUGGCUUUACAAAGCGUUAACAAUAAAAGACUGUUACUUAUAGAUGGAAAUAAGAAAGACGAUACAACUACAAAUAAGAAAAAGAAGAAACUUGUUUUAGAUGAAGAUACAUACACUGAGAAUAUCGAUGAGAUCAUAACGAGGGAUUUCUUCCCUGAUCUCCCAUCACUCUACACACAGGCCGAGUACUUUGAGGCACUGGAGAAGAACGACCAUGCCAAACUUCGACAAAUUCAGAUGCAGUAUCGCCAGUCUACGCAAAGACCAGGCACUGAUGCAUCCAGUGUUUACAAUUCUCCAGCAACAUUUGAAACUCCUGAUCACAGUGCACGGAAAAGCUCUCCAGAUGCCAGGUCAAAUUGGACGGAGGACACUGGUCCCUCAGAAGAGACCCAGAGUGAAGAUAAACAGACAGACAAUAAAUCGCGUGGUUUGAGUCUGGACCAAUACUUGUCGAAGAAUACCAGUGAAGAUAAUGCAUCGUUUGCUGAAAUUCUCAAGGAAGGAGAAAAGAGACAUCGAGACAAACAUGCCUGGAUGUAUGACAAGGAAGGUGAACAGUCCAAGGAACAUGAAGAAAAACUUGCUCUUCCAAGCAUUGAGGACCAGGCUGCCAUAGAACAGAACAAGGCAACAGUAGACACCUGGACAUACAAACCAAACAACGCCCUCAUGUAUGUACCUGAUGGAGUUGAACUGAGUGCGAAGCAGCUGAUAGAAUUAAAGAAAUACAAGCCGCGUGAGAUCAUCCACGCGAACACCCGCUUCCACUACAACCCGCACAACGUAGAGAGGAACAAGCAGCUAAUGGAGCAGGCCGCGUCAUUCAAGGCGAUGGCUGACCUCGGUAAGAUCGGCCACGACGGGAAGGAAGUCGUGUCCAUGCCGUCGCCCAGCGUCAACGGUUACGGCUUCGUGGGGACCCCAUCACCAGCCCCUGGCGUGGACGAGUCACCCCUGAUGACCUGGGGUCAGAUAGAGGGGACGCCAUUCAGGCUGGACGGCAACCAGACGCCAAUCUCAACAACACCAGGACCGGUGUUUAAGAUCCCGAAUAUUCCCCAGAGAGACAAGUUGGCUCUUGAGCUGGCCGAGAAGGCGAGUAAAGGUCACCGUGCCAAGAAACAGGACGCCAUUAAACAGGUGACGAGGAAUUUAGCCAGUCCCAAGCUUGGCAGAACUACGACAGAGCGACUAAAUUCCAUGUCCCCAGCUGCACAGCGUCUGGCCAGUCGACACCUCGGGGUGAAAACACACACCGACAAGGCUCUGCGAGACAGCUACACACCAUCACCCGUCCAUCGGUUGCCUGGUGACAAGACACCAAUCUUGAGACAGACUCCAGGGAGAACUCCGAACUCGUUGCCCGGUACCCCAGGGAGCACGAGUAGCACUCCAAAACAAGACAGUGAGGUGUCGCUCACAGACAAUUUGUUACAGCUACCUCAGAGGAAACGGAGAAGAGCUGCAGAUUUCUUUGAUGGUUGAGUGAUAUCUUCUGUGUAAAAACAACAUAUACAAAGAAGUUUACUUGUUUGUGACCAAAAAAAACAAAAAAACGUCAUAAACCCAGUGGUUAUUAAUUAAUUUUAUGAAGUCCGGAUUAUAUCAGAUAAAUUACAAGCUACUUGUAAUAAAACUAACUGAACUGUAGAACAUUAGGUAAAAACAACCAGUAAACCAGGUUAGAUUGAAAUGGCCGUUUUAUUAAAAACGACAUAAAAUUAUAACAUCACAUCACAUUAUGUAAUAGUAAACACCUGACAAAAGUAGGUGUUCAGGAAAGUGAAAUGACAUAGUAACAUUACAUAAUAAAUGCGAAAAGCACUGUUGUAGGUGGGGGAAAUCCGCCACCUUGCUAGAUAAGCUACUGCCAGCCGGCAAUAGCUGAAACUAGCAACCCCCACCCACAGCAGUUUGACUGACUUAAAAGGCCAUAUCAGCCUAACCUGAAUCGAAACACCCAUCAGAAUAAAAAUACGAUACAAUGAUCCACGACAGCACUGGGUUUAUUAAAGCUAUUAAUAAUAGUAAGUACAUACAAUCUAGGGUUGAUUCACAAGAACCUUUAAAUACACACGUUCCCUUUUACAAUAAUCUACGAGAAUGCCAUGCAUCCGACGCAGUUUUUUGUAUUGAGAUGUGAGAAUGCAUGUUUUAUCAACACAUUUUUAUUUUUAUGUAAGAAGCUACGAGAAUGCCAUGCAUUCGAUGCAGUAAGUUAGUUUUAGCUAUUAAAGUAAGAAAAUCCCAUGGAUUCACCUCAGUAAAAGUAGGAUUUCCAUGCAGUAAGCCACAAGAAUGCCAUUCAUCCGAUGCCACUGCCUGUAUGAUAGUAGUGUAAACUAAUUCACCAUAAUUCGAAAGAUGGGAUUCUAAUGUAUCGCUGAAACGCGUUAGAAUUCCACCUGCCCAUAGCUUGUAUCUCUGCCUCUGAUACCCCUCGACUAGCAGCGGUGCUAGCAGCACCUAUUCUAAAACUGUGACUUUUGUAAUGUUCGGACCUAUAUCCUGCUGCAAGCAAUGCAUUUUUCAAUAUAUUGCAAAAAUAUCUGUAAGAAACCGUAGAUCCUCCCGGGAAUACAAAAAUACAACCCGGAGAAGAACCUCGAAGAUGUAGAUACCUGUAUAAAGUAUGUAUGUAUCGCUUGAGCAUUAAGAGAUAGGGCAAUUGGGGCAGUGUGAUAAUGACCCUUGAAAGAGUGAAAACUUAUCUCCACUCUGGAAGGAUUUUGCAAACCCUUUUUGAAGAAUUGCACAUUCUUUGUCUGUAGAAUAUUCCUACUGUUUCCACUGUAGGUGAUUUCCCCAAUGCGCAAAAAUGCAUAAAAAGCAAGUAAAAACAUUGAUCGGAACAUAAGUUUGUUGUAUCUUGUUGGACAAACUUCAUCCAGAGCAUUUAUAAUUUGAUACAAUAUAUGUUUUGUCAGUGGGCGCCUGAAAUCUUGUCUUUUAUUUAUUUUCUUUAAUCCUGCUAGCAUUUUCCGAAUAAUGAAAAACUGGGAUCUUUAAAGGCCCCCAACUUAUGUAUAUAUCCUAUAGCUGACAUAUAAGUUGUGAUGGUUGAACUAGCAAAGCCUAUGUCCACCAUGUGGGCAAUGAAUAAUGCCACUGUAUGUACACUAAUUGGCAGGGAGCACUGCAUAUGCAAUGUUGUGUGUAUGAAUUGUUGUAGCAAAUGAAUGCUCUAGGAUAUAACUGUUUAGACUUAUCAGUUAGUGCUGCAUCAAUGAGUCGAAGGACUCGUUUAAAUGCGCAAUAACUGCUGUGGAACUGUGGCUGGAAUUCUGUCCAUCUGUGGGGCUGCUUGGUGAAAGUAUGCCACCUGUAAACGAGACAGGUAAUCAGCCAGUACAUUUAGUUUUCCUGGUAUAUGUUUGGCUCUAAAAUGAAUAUUGAAUCUCAAGGCUGCUAAUACCAAUCUCCUGACAAGACCCAUCAUUACGGUAUUGGGCGAUGUUUGUUUAUUUAUUAUCGCUACCACUGUAUUAUUAUCAGAAAAGAACAAAACUGAUUUAUUACCCAGUUGCUGUCCCCAGUGCUCCAAAGCUAGAACAAUUGGAAAUAAUUCCUUGAUGUUAAUAUGGUGUUGCAACAUAUGUUCAUCCCACUGACCAUAUAACCAAUGUUUUCCCAUUAUGGCGCCAUACCCCACAUUACUAGCGUCUGUAUACAUUUGUAGUUGUUCUGACGACUCCCAACUAUUUGGCAAAAAAUUUAAAAUAACAAUUGCAUCUUACCUGUACGAAAUUAUUUGAAACUGACGCUGUUGUAUAACAAUAUUUCAUUUUAAAUUAACCCAAGCGUAAGAGCAAAGGAGAUAGAAGGAAGUUCUGUCACGUGACUGCAAUAGGAAACAGAGGACUUAUUGGAAGAUUUGUAGCCAUUUCUUGGCUGUUGGGAUGUUUGGACCAGUCUAUUGAAAUUGGGGGAAGUGCCAUUGGUGACUGGUCAGGUUAUGUAUUUAUGAAAAGAGAGAAAUAUCCACGUUUUCUACAAUUUACGGAAAGUGAUAACAUACUGUUUAUUUCUGACUGGUGAGAUACUGACGUACAUGGUAUAUGUUUGUGUGUGUUGGCUAUCUUGAUACAUUGUAGUGCCACAUUUACAGUCAGCAGAAUGCAAUCUUCGCCAUGAGCUGAAUCAAAGCAAGCUCAAGGUCACCUGGCAACCCCUGAAAUUGUCCACGGCAAAAAUGCAUGCCUUGAAAAAAAUAUAUAUAUAGUCCAGCAAAAAAGUGCCGUGGAGAAUUUUAAAACUCCACAGCAUUGCCGAUUGCUGUGGGUAAUUGUAGGGGUUGAAUGGUGCUAGGCGAGAAACCAAAUGAAGUUUCAAUAAAAAUGUAUUAAACGGUUUAUUGCAAGACGAUCAGUUUGCUAAUCUCCUGAAACUGUCCAUGGGAGUGUGGAGGGGAGCAAGCAAAGACUGGAAUGUGCUGUUGAUAAAACAAUAUGCAUCAUUUCCACCAUAACAUUCACAGUUUAAAUGAGAACCAUUUACACAGGUAUUGUUUUCAUUUUUGGAUCUUGAUGAAUGGAGUGAAUGUUCGGAAAAGAACAUAUCUGUUUUUGAGGUUGUUGUCCCAGAAGGUAAAUUUUUUUAUUAAUAUAACAGAAACAUUUUAAACGUGAAAGUGGUUGUGUUUAGCUGACAUCACCCUGCAUUUUUAAAAGGCAUGGACAGCUAAAUCAUGACACUAUUCUGAUAGUACAUUUCCUGCGUCAAUCCUUCUUUCCAUGUAAUUAAUAUUUGUGCGAGAAAAUCUAGGGUAUGGAUAAGACACUGUAGGGCUGAAACACAAUAAUGUAAUGCUAAAUGUUGGAUGUGGGUUAUGAAAUGUGUUGUUUGUAUUAAAGAUCACCUGAUUUUG